GACGAACGCUGGCGGCGUGCUUAACACAUGCAAGUCGAACGGAAAGGCCCUGCUUUUGUGGGGUGCUCGAGUGGCGAACGGGUGAGUAACACGUGAGUAACCUGCCCUUGACUUUGGGAUAACUUCAGGCAACUGGGGCUAAUACCGGAUAGGAGCUCCUGCUGCAUGGUGGGGGUUGGAAAGUUUCGGCGGUUGGGGAUGGACUCGCGGCUUAUCAGCUUGUUGGUGGGGUAGUGGCUUACCAAGGCUUUGACGGGUAGCCGGCCUGAGAGGCUGACCGGCCACAUUGGGACUGGGAUACGGCCCAGACUCCUACGGGAGGCAGCAGUGGGGAAUAUUACACAAUGGGCGGAAGCCUGAUGCAGCAACGCCGCGUGCGGGAUGACGGCCUUCGGGUUGUAGACCGAUUUCGCCUGUGACGAGGCGUGAGUGACGGUAAUGGGUAAAGAAGCACCGGCUAACUACGUG
This 468-nucleotide ribosomal RNA is filed under the name uncultured bacterium. RNAcentral's name for it is "partial 16S ribosomal RNA". It matches the Rfam family "Bacterial small subunit ribosomal RNA", at positions 28 to 507 of the family's 1533-position model. The record is from RNAcentral.